Molecule: long non-coding RNA, 732 nt
Organism: Gallus gallus (chicken)
Lineage: Eukaryota; Metazoa; Chordata; Aves; Galliformes; Phasianidae
Source: Ensembl
AGAGUAAUGAGUGCUCAGGAAAAGGAUCACAAGCUGUUUACUGGGAGAUUCUACUUGUAGAAUGAUGGGCAUGGGUGUCCAAGCUUUUGGCUUGCCUGGGCCACACUGAGAGAAGAGGAAUUGUCUUUGUUGGGAAUUUGUUGCUUCAGAAGUAAUGCCUCCUAUUUAUUUCCAUGUGUUGAACAGACAUCCUUUAUGCUAAGCCUCAGCCUUCUUCCCAUAAGCACCAAAGUCUUCUGCUUCUCCAGAGCAGCAGCUGCCUCUGUACCAGCUGUGAGUCCUCCUCACAGCCCCAUGCAGCUCAGGUCCCUCCUACAGACUCCUCCUGUUGCCCCAGCACAGCAGCUCAGAGGAUGCCGGUCCCUGCCUUUGUUCCUUCCUCUUGCUGAAGAAGAGAUGAGGGGACUUGGUGAGGGAGGGGGUGGAGAUGGGAAGGAUGGGUUCAUGGCAUCCUUGACUGUCAAAAGAAUUCCCAGGAAAUGAACGUCCCAUGUGAGCCCACGGGGUGAUCUGAAAUUUGGGUCUCUCCCGUUUAAUGGUGCACUUACAGGACAGGAUGUUCAGCGCUGGCAUUGAGGCAGCCGUGGGGGGAGGUGGGCAGGACCCCACCCUGCUGUGAUGGUAGGGAUGGGGUCUGGAUGUCCUCUCACGCAGCUUGAAGAGUGGUGGCCUGCUGGUGGUUUGUCCCUGAUGGAGGUGGAUCGACCUCCACUGGGUCUUCCCCAGGCCUUG